RNAcentral lists this non-coding RNA (148 nucleotides) under Nomascus leucogenys (northern white-cheeked gibbon). The record is from Rfam by way of RNAcentral. Lineage: Eukaryota; Metazoa; Chordata; Mammalia; Primates; Hylobatidae.
GCUAGGUGUGGUGGUGCGCGCCUGUAGUCCCAGCUACUAGGGAAGCUGAGGCAGGAGAAUCGCUUGAACCCCGGAGGCUGAGACUGCCGUGAGCAGAGAUCGCGCCACUGCACUCCAGCCUGGGUGACAGAGCGAGACUCUGUCUCAA